Nymphaea colorata (pocket water lily) is the source of this 706-nucleotide long non-coding RNA. RefSeq lists it as uncharacterized. The record is from RefSeq and is a predicted model, not a curated record. Lineage: Eukaryota; Viridiplantae; Streptophyta; Magnoliopsida; Nymphaeales; Nymphaeaceae. The transcript has 3 exons.
GACCAAAAGUAAUAGUAAUAGAAAAUCAAUAAAAUGUGGUGGAAAAUCCCCACCACCCAAUCGUCCGUGCCUAUAAAAAUAAGGGCUUCGACCUGAGCCACCCGGCAACCCCUAUUGUCGUGUAUCUUUGGUGUGCAAGUGUGGAGUGGUGCAUGCAUGUGUUGGAGCUUUUUAUGAAAAGAUCACUGGGUGACCUUCUUUAAAAGCAAAAGAGAAUCCAGGUUGCAAUCUUAUGGCCAAGUGAGAGAUGUUGGGUUGCGGCCAUGAACCAGACUCAUGAUCUCAUCCACUAUGAGAAACCUUGAAAAAGAAAGUGGUGGAACAAAAAGCCUGUGUCCAUUGAGGCCAUGAGUAGCAUAAUCGACACUGAACCACGCAAUUUGACUCUAGUCAUGUCCCACAAAGAUGGUGCUACUUGAAGACGUCAUUGGUAUGACCUGACUAUUUCCCUCCGUUUAAUUAAUGUAUUUCUUUGACUUUGUGAAUAUUAUUCAUUUAUUUUAUAAAUGUAAUACCAUAAUUGGCAAAUUCCUAACUCUAACUCGGAUCAGUAGAAGACCAAGUCGGAGUCACUGGGUCAACAAGUUGCUAUUUUUAUAGGAUAUCAAUGAAGUAAGGUCUGUAACUCUCUAAAUGGUUACUUUCCAAUGUAUUUUUACUGCAACCCAGUAAGACAAUUUUAGACAAGUCGGUGUGAUUUUGGGCA